CACACACGACAAGAUGAGACUGCUCUAGCUAAGGGAGCUAGCAGCCAUUAGCCGGUAAACACAGGAAUCAGGCCUCUCUCCUUGCUGCUCUGCUGUGGACGUCAUUCACUCGAGAAUGGAGUGAAGACGGGACACUGGCGCUUCUUGUUGUCCUGUGGCAUCGCCGAAACCGGGACAGAGCCGAGGGUUUGGCCUCAGCCUGCAAGGGGCCCAGUCAUGGCAUCAAACCUGUGUGUGCGCAGCCGGUGCUGCAGCAGCAGCAGCAGUGGGGAUGUCCGAGGGCAGAUGAAUGACACAUGCAUCUCAUAGGAGUGUGUGUGUUUGUGCAUGCUCCCUGGACACAGAGAAACUCAGGAUGCAUGUGGUGUGUGUGGUGCGGAUUAAUAAAGACACUGCAAAGACUGCAUGUUCCCUAGGGGGGGGGGCUGUGGUACCUUUAUGGCGACUCGUUUUUCCAAUGCAAGGCCACAGAUGGAAUGGGAAAUUACAACAAUGCAAUUAAAAUGCAAAUAUAAAA
Pleuronectes platessa (European plaice) is the source of this 517-nucleotide long non-coding RNA. RefSeq lists it as uncharacterized. The record is from RefSeq and is a predicted model, not a curated record. Lineage: Eukaryota; Metazoa; Chordata; Actinopteri; Pleuronectiformes; Pleuronectidae. The transcript is spliced from 3 exons.